UUAAGCGACUAAGCGUACACGGUGGAUGCCCUGGCAGUCAGAGGCGAUGAAGGACGUGCUAAUCUGCGAAAAGCGUCGGUAAGGUGAUAUGAACCGUUAUAACCGGCGAUGUCCGAAUGGGGAAACCCAGUGCAAUUCGUUGCACUAUCGUUAACUGAAUACAUAGGUUAACGAGGCGAACCGGGGGAACUGAAACAUCUAAGUACCCCGAGGAAAAGAAAUCAACCGAGAUUCCCCCAGUAGCGGCGAGCGAACGGGGAGCAGCCCAGAGUCUGAAUCAGCUUGUGUGUUAGUGGAACGGUCUGGAAAGUCCGACGGUACAGGGUGAUAGUCCCGUACACCAAAAUGCACAGGCUGUGAACUCGAAGAGUAGGGCGGGACACGUGGUAUCCUGUCUGAAUAUGGGGGGACCAUCCUCCAAGGCUAAAUACUCCUGACUGACCGAUAGUGAACCAGUACCGUGAGGGAAAGGCGAAAAGAACCCCGGCGAGGGGAGUGAAAAAGAACCUGAAACCGUGUACGUACAAGCAGUGGGAGCACCUUCGGGUGUGACUGCGUACCUUUUGUAUAAUGGGUCAGCGACUUAUAUUCUGUAGCAAGGUUAACCGUAUAGGGGAGCCGCAGGGAAACCGAGUCUUAACUGGGCGUUAAGUUGCAGGGUAUAGACCCGAAACCCGGUGAUCUAGCCAUGGGCAGGUUGAAGGUUGGGUAACACUAACUGGAGGACCGAACCGACUAAUGUUGAAAAAUUAGCGGAUGACUUGUGGCUGGGGGUGAAAGGCCAAUCAAACCGGGAGAUAGCUGGUUCUCCCCGAAAGCUAUUUAGGUAGCGCCUCGUGAACUCAUCUUCGGGGGUAGAGCACUGUUUCGGCUAGGGGGUCAUCCCGACUUACCAACCCGAUGCAAACUACGAAUACCGAAGAAUGUUAUCACGGGAGACACACGGCGGGUGCUAACGUCCGUCGUGAAGAGGGAAACAACCCAGACCGCCAGCUAAGGUCCCAAAGUCAUGGUUAAGUGGGAAACGAUGUGGGAAGGCACAGACAGCCAGGAUGUUGGCUUAGAAGCAGCCAUCAUUUAAAGAAAGCGUAAUAGCUCACUGGUCGAGUCGGCCUGCGCGGAAGAUGUAACGGGGCUAAACCAUGCACCGAAGCUGCGGCAGCGACACUAUGUGUUGUUGGGUAGGGGAGCGUUCUGUAAGCCUGCGAAGGUGUGCUGUGAGGCAUGCUGGAGGUAUCAGAAGUGCGAAUGCUGACAUAAGUAACGAUAAAGCGGGUGAAAAGCCCGCUCGCCGGAAGACCAAGGGUUCCUGUCCAACGUUAAUCGGGGCAGGGUGAGUCGACCCCUAAGGCGAGGCCGAAAGGCGUAGUCGAUGGGAAACAGGUUAAUAUUCCUGUACUUGGUGUUACUGCGAAGGGGGGACGGAGAAGGCUAUGUUAGCCGGGCGACGGUUGUCCCGGUUUAAGCAUGUAGGCUGGUUGUCCAGGCAAAUCCGGAUAAUCAAGGCUGAGGUGUGAUGACGAGGCACUACGGUGCUGAAGUAACAAAUGCCCUGCUUCCAGGAAAAGCCUCUAAGCAUCAGGUAACAUCAAAUCGUACCCCAAACCGACACAGGUGGUCAGGUAGAGAAUACCAAGGCGCUUGAGAGAACUCGGGUGAAGGAACUAGGCAAAAUGGUGCCGUAACUUCGGGAGAAGGCACGCUGGUGUGUAGGUGAAGUCCCUGCGGAUGGAGCUGAGACCAGUCGAAGAUACCAGCUGGCUGCAACUGUUUAUUAAAAACACAGCACUGUGCAAACACGAAAGUGGACGUAUACGGUGUGACGCCUGCCCGGUGCCGGAAGGUUAAUUGAUGGGGUUAUCCGUAAGGAGAAGCUCUUGAUCGAAGCCCCGGUAAACGGCGGCCGUAACUAUAACGGUCCUAAGGUAGCGAAAUUCCUUGUCGGGUAAGUUCCGACCUGCACGAAUGGCGUAAUGAUGGCCAGGCUGUCUCCACCCGAGACUCAGUGAAAUUGAACUCGCUGUGAAGAUGCAGUGUACCCGCGGCAAGACGGAAAGACCCCGUGAACCUUUACUAUAGCUUGACACUGAACAUUGAGCCUUGAUGUGUAGGAUAGGUGGGAGGCUUUGAAGCGUGGACGCCAGUCUGCGUGGAGCCAACCUUGAAAUACCACCCUUUAAUGUUUGAUGUUCUAACGUUGGCCCCUGACCGGGGUUGCGGACAGUGUCUGGUGGGUAGUUUGACUGGGGCGGUCUCCUCCCAAAGCGUAACGGAGGAGCACGAAGGUUAGCUAAUCCUGGUCGGACAUCAGGAGGUUAGUGCAAUGGCAUAAGCUAGCUUGACUGCGAGCGUGACGGCGCGAGCAGGUGCGAAAGCAGGUCAUAGUGAUCCGGUGGUUCUGAAUGGAAGGGCCAUCGCUCAACGGAUAAAAGGUACUCCGGGGAUAACAGGCUGAUACCGCCCAAGAGUUCAUAUCGACGGCGGUGUUUGGCACCUCGAUGUCGGCUCAUCACAUCCUGGGGCUGAAGUAGGUCCCAAGGGUAUGGCUGUUCGCCAUUUAAAGUGGUACGCGAGCUGGGUUUAGAACGUCGUGAGACAGUUCGGUCCCUAUCUGCCGUGGGCGCUGGAGAAUUGAGGGGGGCUGCUCCUAGUACGAGAGGACCGGAGUGGACGCAUCACUGGUGUUCGGGUUGUCAUGCCAAUGGCACUGCCCGGUAGCUAAAUGCGGAAGAGAUAAGUGCUGAAAGCAUCUAAGCACGAAACUUGCCCCGAGAUGAGUUCUCCCUGAGACUUUAAGUCUCCUGAAGGAACGUUAAAGACGAUGACGUUGAUAGGCCGGGUGUGUAAGCGCAGCGAUGCGUUGAGCUAACCGGUACUAAUGAACCGUGAGGCUUAACCUU
This 2900-nucleotide ribosomal RNA is filed under the name Klebsiella pneumoniae. Its description in RNAcentral is "bacterial LSU rRNA". It matches the Rfam family "Bacterial large subunit ribosomal RNA". The record is from RNAcentral. Lineage: Bacteria; Pseudomonadati; Pseudomonadota; Gammaproteobacteria; Enterobacterales; Enterobacteriaceae.